Molecule: long non-coding RNA, 1288 nt
Organism: Caretta caretta (loggerhead turtle)
Lineage: Eukaryota; Metazoa; Chordata; Testudines; Cheloniidae
Source: RefSeq, a predicted model, not a curated record
GCCCGGAGUUCGCUCCCGCGGCCGGAGCUAGGGCUGGGCAUGGAAGAGCCGCAGGGGCAAAGCGGAGGCGGCGGCAGAAAUCACGGCAGCGAGGGGGUGGCCAACCCUCCAGGAUUGUCCUGGAGUCUCCAGGCAGUCAAGAGUCAACACAGCUCAGAAAGGGAGCUGAAUUUUAUUCCUUCCUGUGAAUCAACAACAGAAUUGUUCACCAAAUUCCAGUCACUUACAGUUGCAGAAACCCACUGAAAUGAAUGGGCUUUCACCUGUGUCACUAAGGGUAGAAUUUGGCCUGUAGAAUCUUUAGUAGUGGAGAUGAUGUGCAAGGAAAGAACUCGACAGAGCACGCAAAUGGAGUUUGAUUGGGGUGGUCAGAAGUAGUGGAAUCUUUUUUCCUGUUAACUGAACAGGUUUGAUAUACAGCUAUUGACAGACAAAUAUGGAAUCCAUCAUGCCAUUUUUAGGAAUUGGUUUUCAGAGAAAAACUGCACUCUAAGGGUAGUUCUAAGUUCUCUUUUAUAAAUGGGGCUCUCAAUUCAAGUUAAGAAAAUCAUUCUUUGUUCACCUUUGUAUUUUAAGCUCCCUGUUUUAUUGUAGCAUAGUUCAGUGGUUCUCUUUUUAAACCAUCACUUUCCUUUUAUCAAAGCAAAUGAGAUCAGAUCCCACCUUCAAAUCUAGUGGAAACAACAUUCAUUCAUAUAUAUCAACUGCCAAUUAUAUGUUAAAACACCUAUGUACAAUCGGAAUAGUUUUUACCUUGACACAUUUUAGUGAAAAGGAUCACAGAGCUUAUCUAGGUGUGGAAAGAUUUAUCCAAACUGAAACAGGAAAAUGACUUCUGAGUCCCAGCAGGGGAACAAGAACUCCCUGGAGAACAGGACAAGAGAACAGAACGGGGAGACAGGGACCGUAGCCUGAACAUGGUGGAAGACACAAGAACAAGAACUCCUGAGAAGCCUCUGACUUUUAGCCUGUUUUCACCUUUAUGAAACGACAUCAGAACUGAAGACACGAAGUUUCUGACCUGGACCACGCAGCAAUGAGAAGCAACUGAUGAGGCAGUUGGUCUGCCCUGAGGUUGGGAGCACGAGGUGAACUGAGGCACAUGCGCGGACCAACAGACACUGCUUUCAAAUUCUCUGACUCUGGGAGCAUGGUGCACAUGUGUAACCCACAGUGGAAUACAAUAAGGACCAUUACUUGAAGACGAAACAGACUUUCUUGGUCCUCUAGUCACCAACUGUUUAAUGCCUUCAACCAAAAAUCUAUCUCAAAGGCUAUUUCAAUUUUA